RNAcentral lists this long non-coding RNA (1399 nucleotides) under Sus scrofa (pig). RNAcentral's name for it is "lncRNA (ENSSSCG00070030314.1)". The record is from RNAcentral. Lineage: Eukaryota; Metazoa; Chordata; Mammalia; Artiodactyla; Suidae.
CUUCGCGGCUGCGCGCUGCCGCCCGCCAGCGGUGCUGCUCAUCAGCGAGCUGGACGCGCUGCUGCCCGCCCGGGACGACGGCGCGGCCGCCGCGGGCGCGCUGCAGGCGCCACUCCUGGCCUGCUUGGAUAGCGGCUGCGGCGCAGGGUCCGACGGCGUGCUGGUCGUGGGCACCACCUCGCGUCCCGCGGCCCUGGACGAGGCGACCCGCCGGCGCUUCGCUCUCCGCUUCUACGUGACGCUGCCCGACGGCCCGGCCCGCGGGCAGAUCCUGCAGCGGGUGCUGGCCCAGCAGGGCUGCGCGCUGAGCGAGCGGGAGCUGGCGGCCCUCGUGCAGGGCACCCAGGGCUUCUCUGGGGGCGAGCUGGGGCAGCUGUGCCAGCAGGCGGCGGCCGGGGCGGGCCUCCCGGGGCUGCAGCGCCCCCUCUCUUACAAGGACUUGGAGGCGGCGCUGGCCAAGGUGGGCCCUAGGGCUUCGCCCAAGGACCUGGACUCCUUCGUGGAGUGGGACAAAAUGUACGGUUUCGGACACUAAUGGCGCGCCGGGAGGCCGUGGGAGCCACUGCCCCUUCCCCGCCCCCUCUGUUCGGGAGAGCCGGCUUUAACCCCUCCGGGCUGGGGGGUAGCGGAGUGAGGGAUGUGGGGUGGAGGACAAGUGUGGGCUGCCGGUGGGUUCUUGUUUUUUUUCGUGGGAAGGAAAAUGCUUCUGCUAGGCAGAUAGAUGCCAUAUGCGCUGUGUACUCAGGUUUUUCCUAUUUAUUGUGGACGGGAAGCUCGCCAUCUCCGCCCCGCGGACGCCGGCCCGGGGCCUAAGGAACUCCUGCUCUCUCGCCACAAUCCUUUUGUCCCCUCGCUCUCUGAAUGGCUCCCUCCCCCUCCCCCACUUCCCCGUUUCUCUGCCUGUAGUUUUCUUUCCCCGUCGCUUUGUCACAGAACGUACCCCUCCCCACCCCCCGCGCUGGCCCAGUUUCUCUUUUGCCCCUCCCUCCUCUGUCUCUCCAUCUAUCACCCUCUGUGUCUCUGUCUCCGUCCCUUGCUCUCCAGCCUCUCCUGGUCUUUUGGUUCCUCGCCCCGCUUCUGCCCCUUUCAAUCUGACUGCAGUGUCCCUUUGCAGAUCUGGAGGCUGAGCAGCAGGAGAUACGCUAGGAGAGGUGUUGGAAACUUGCUAAGUUUGAGACGGCUGUUCCUGGGGAGGCAUUUCAGUGUAAGGGCCCCGGAUCCUAACUUCUUGGGGGACCGAGUCCCAACCCACCCAAAUCCCCGGGUGUUGGGACAUUCUCACUCGAGUCCUUGGGUUUUGUGAGACCGCCCCCCCCCCGCCCCUCCUAAUUCCUAGUUUCUGGGAGUUGGGAGCUCCUCCUCCAAUAAAAAGUCGCCUGUGUUGGAGGCCCGGGUUCCU